AAAAAAGCAAACUCUGGAUUUCUGUGUCCAACUUUGACUGUCCGUUUUAUAUAAAAUUUUUUUAUAAUUAGUAUUUUUAUUGUUGUUAGAUGAUAAACCAUAAUUAAUAUUUUAUGCGUGACUUGUCUUUUUAAUUUUUUUAUAAUUUUUUCAAAUAAGACGGACGGUCAAACGUUAGACACGAAAAUCAGGGUUUGUCUUUUU
MicroRNA precursor from Oryza sativa Japonica Group (Japanese rice), 204 nucleotides. It matches the Rfam family "MIR812 microRNA precursor family". The record is from Rfam. Lineage: Eukaryota; Viridiplantae; Streptophyta; Magnoliopsida; Poales; Poaceae.